RNAcentral lists this ribosomal RNA (252 nucleotides) under uncultured bacterium. RNAcentral describes it as "partial 16S ribosomal RNA". It matches the Rfam family "Bacterial small subunit ribosomal RNA", at positions 524 to 776 of the family's 1533-position model. The record is from RNAcentral.
UACGUAGGUCCCGAGCGUUGUCCGGAUUUAUUGGGCGUAAAGCGAGCGCAGGUGGUUUGUUAAGUCUGGUGUAAAAGGCAGUGGCUCAACCAUUGUAUGCAUUGGAAACUGGUAGACUUGAGUGCAGGAGAGGAGAGUGGAAUUCCAUGUGUAACGGUGAAAUGCGUAGAUAUAUGGAGGAACACCGGUGGCGAAAGCGGCUCUCUGGCCUGUAACUGACACUGAGGCUCGAAAGCGUGGGGAGCAAACAGG